GAGUUUUGAUCAUGGCUCAGGACGAACGCUGGCGGCGCGCCUAACACAUGCAAGUCGAACGAGAGAGAGGGAGCUUGCUUCCUUGAUCGAGUGGCGAACGGGUGAGUAACGCGUGAGGAACCUGCCUCAAAGAGGGGGACAACAGUUGGAAACGACUGCUAAUACCGCAUAAGCCCACGGCUCGGCAUCGAGCAGAGGGAAAAGGAGCAAUCCGCUUUGAGAUGGCCUCGGCGUCCGAUUAGCUAGUUGGUGAGGUAACGGCCCACCAAGGCGACGAUCGGUAGCCGGACUGAGAGGUUGAACGGCCACCAUUGGGACUGAGACACGGCCCAGACUCCUACGGGAGGCAGCA
This 352-nucleotide ribosomal RNA is filed under the name uncultured bacterium. Its description in RNAcentral is "bacterial SSU rRNA". It matches the Rfam family "Bacterial small subunit ribosomal RNA", at positions 9 to 353 of the family's 1533-position model. The record is from RNAcentral.